This 439-nucleotide ribosomal RNA is filed under the name uncultured bacterium. RNAcentral's name for it is "partial 16S ribosomal RNA". It matches the Rfam family "Bacterial small subunit ribosomal RNA", at positions 338 to 795 of the family's 1533-position model. The record is from RNAcentral.
CCUACUGGGCGCAGCAGUGGGGAAUAUUGCACAAUGGGGGAAACCCUGAUGCAGCGACGCCGCGUGAGUGAAGAAGUAUUUCGGUAUGUAAAGCUCUAUCAGCAGGGAAGAAAAUGACGGUACCUGAUUAAGAAGCCCCGGCUAACUACGUGCCAGCAGCCGCGGUAAUACGUAGGGGGCAAGCGUUAUCCGGAUUUAUUGGGUUUAAAGGGUGCGCAGGCGGCGAGUUAAGUCAGCGGUAAAAUUUCGGGGCUCAACCCCGACAAGCCGUUGAAACUGGCUUGCUAGAGUGGGCGAGAAGUAUGCGGAAUGCGUGGUGUAGCGGUGAAAUGCAUAGAUAUCACGCAGAACCCCGAUUGCGAAGGCAGCUUGCUGCAGCGGAACUGACGCUGAUGCUCGAAAGCGCGGGUAUCGAACAGGAUUAGAUACCCUAGUAGUC